This is a long non-coding RNA of Sebastes umbrosus (honeycomb rockfish), 417 nucleotides long. RefSeq lists it as uncharacterized. The transcript has 2 exons. Lineage: Eukaryota; Metazoa; Chordata; Actinopteri; Perciformes; Sebastidae. The record is from RefSeq and is a predicted model, not a curated record.
CGUCCGUCUCUGCGCUGCGACGCGUCGACCACAGAAACUCCAUGAUGGCCACGAAGACGGCGAUGAUGAGGCCGCAGAUCAGGACCACAAAAAUCCCCCCGAUGUUCUCCAUGCCGAGACCUGAGACACACAGAGUAACCCUCUAGGUUGGCGAGUAUGAGUAUGAAGGCCAUGCUGUGUGACACCCACCUUUGGCUCGAUGGUCCUCCUCUUUGGGACACUGUCCUCCCUCCCACCAGCGUCUCUUCAGGAUCUCCAGCCUGUUGCUCUCCUGCAGCUGUAGGAUCCCCAGAGUGAUCUCGUCUCUGUACGGAGAACCUGAGGAGUGAUUCACCAGCAGAAAUCCAGUCACUGUCCAGCACAUUCAGCUCUUUUAUUCAGUGUUUUUUAUUGAAGAAUAAAGUUACAUCCACAGUU